GAUGAAGAACGUAGCGAAAUGCGAUAAGUAAUGUGAAUUGCAGAAUUCAGUGAAUCAUCGAAUCUUUGAACGCACAUUGCGCCCCUUGGUAUUCCGAGGGGCAUGCCUGUUCGAGCGUCAUUAUAACCCCUCAAGCUCAGCUUGGUGUUGGGGCCUGCUGCACUGGCAGCCCUUAAAAUCAGUGGCGGCGCCGUCUGGCUCUAAGCGUAGUAAUUCUUCUCGCUAUGGAGUCCUGGUGGAUGCUUGCCAUCAACCCCCAAUUUUUCUAUGGUUGACCUUGGAUCAGGUAGGGAUACCCGCUGAACUUAAGCAUAUCAAUAAGCGGAGGA
This 329-nucleotide unclassified non-coding RNA is filed under the name soil metagenome. RNAcentral describes it as "partial contains 5.8S ribosomal RNA, internal transcribed spacer 2, and large subunit ribosomal RNA". The stretch from base 1 to 120 matches the Rfam family "5.8S ribosomal RNA", at positions 35 to 154 of the family's 154-position model. The record is from RNAcentral.